Molecule: ribosomal RNA, 495 nt
Filed under: uncultured bacterium
Lineage: Bacteria
Description: partial 16S ribosomal RNA
Rfam family: Bacterial small subunit ribosomal RNA
Source: RNAcentral
GAUGAACGCUGGCGGCGUGCCUAAUACAUGCGAGUCGAGCGAACAGACGAGGAGCUUGCUCCUCUGACGUUAGCGGCGGACGGGUGAGUAACACGUGGAUAACCUACCUAUAAGACUGGGAUAACUUCGGGAAACCGGAGCUAAUACCGGAUAAUAUAUUGAACCGCAUGGUUCAAUAGUGAAAGACGGUUUUGCUGUCACUUAUAGAUGGAUCCGCGCCGCAUUAGCUAGUUGGUAAGGUAACGGCUUACCAAGGCAACGAUGCGUAGCCGACCUGAGAGGGUGAUCGGCCACACUGGAACUGAGACACGGUCCAGACUCCUACGGGAGGCAGCAGUAGGGAAUCUUCCGCAAUGGGCGAAAGCUUGACGGAGCAACGCCGCGUGAGUGAUGAAGGUCUUCGGAUCGUAAAACUCUGUUAUUAGGGAAGAACAAAUGUGUAAGUAACUAUGCACGUCUUGACGGUACCUAAUCAGAAAGCCACGGCUAACUACG